GACGUAGGGCGCGAGCGUUGUCCGGAUUUAUUGGGCGUAAAGAGCUCGUAGGCGGCUUGUUGCGUCGUCCGUGAAAACCUGGGGCUCAACCCCAGGCUUGCGGUCGAUACGGGCAGGCCAGAGUUCGGUAGGGGAGACUGGAAUUCCUGGUGUAGCGGUGAAAUGCGCAGAUAUCAGGAGGAACACCGGUGGCGAAGGCGGGUCUCUGGGCCGAUACUGACGCUGAGGAGCGAAAGCGUGGGGAGCGAACAGG
Molecule: ribosomal RNA, 253 nt
Filed under: uncultured bacterium
Lineage: Bacteria
Description: partial 16S ribosomal RNA
Rfam family: Bacterial small subunit ribosomal RNA
Source: RNAcentral